This 475-nucleotide ribosomal RNA is filed under the name uncultured bacterium. Its description in RNAcentral is "SSU rRNA". It matches the Rfam family "Bacterial small subunit ribosomal RNA", at positions 27 to 518 of the family's 1533-position model. The record is from RNAcentral.
GGGACGAACGCUGGCGGCGUGCUUAACACAUGCAAGUCGAGCGGAAAGGCCCUUCGGGGUACUCGAGCGGCGAACGGGUGAGUAACACGUGGGCAACCUGCCCUUAGCUCUGGGAUAGCUCCGGGAAACCGGAAUUAAUACCGGAUAUGACCUAGGCCGACAUCGGCCGUGGUGGAAAGUUUUUCGGCUAGGGAUGGACUCGCGGCCUAUCAGCUAGUUGGUGGGGUAAUGGCCUACCAAGGCGACGACGGGUAGCCGGCCUGAGAGGGCGACCGGCCAACGACUGGGACUGAGACACGGCCCAGACUCCUACGGGAGGCAGCAGUGGGGAAUCUUGCGCAAUGGGCGAAAGCCUGACGCAGCGACGCCGCGUGGGGGAUGAAGGCCUUCGGGUUGUAAACCCUUUCAGCAGGGACGAAGCGAAAGUGACGGUACCUGCAGAAGAAGCGCCGGCUAACUACGUGCCAGCAGCCGC